RNAcentral lists this ribosomal RNA (398 nucleotides) under Triticum aestivum (bread wheat). Its description in RNAcentral is "partial small subunit ribosomal RNA". Lineage: Eukaryota; Viridiplantae; Streptophyta; Magnoliopsida; Poales; Poaceae. The record is from RNAcentral.
AAAAUUCUAUUUUACAUAAUAUCCACUAUAUCUAGCUUGGUAUGCUUCCAUCCUCUAUCUUAUGGAAUGGUCUAUUUCCACUUUCCAGUUAUCACGAUGCUCCUACCGCCUUUGUGCUUUUGUUUAUACUACUGUGAAUAAUUCUUAUAGAAUUUGAGUUUACAUGCCAAUCAAUCAGUGUUUAAGUGUCGUGGGUUUCAAGAAAAUUCUCCAUAAACUAAACCAGAAGGAUGAAAAUAGAUAUUUGUAAUUUUAUUAAAUAAUGAUAUGCAUAUAAUAUUUGUCAUGUGGGAAAUUGAGUUUUAAAUUAACUAUUUGCAUCUAAUCAAGGUGGCACAACCACCGAAAUGUUUACUCCAGGUACAUGUCCCUAUCACUCACACUUCUGCAUAAGAAAU